This 22-nucleotide microRNA is filed under the name anatid alphaherpesvirus 1. RNAcentral describes it as "dev-miR-D12-3p". Its record names the gene dev-miR-D12-3p. The record is from miRBase by way of RNAcentral. Lineage: Duplodnaviria; Heunggongvirae; Peploviricota; Herviviricetes; Herpesvirales; Orthoherpesviridae.
CUCCGCGGUGAGGUCCCAGAAA